This 69-nucleotide transfer RNA is filed under the name Incisitermes schwarzi. Its description in RNAcentral is "tRNA-Tyr". The record is from RNAcentral. Lineage: Eukaryota; Metazoa; Arthropoda; Insecta; Blattodea; Kalotermitidae.
AGUAGAGUGGCUGAGAUUAAAUAGGUGGUAGAUUGUAAAUCUAUUAAGGGGUUGUGUUCCCCUCUACUA